GAUGAACGCUGGCGGCGUGCCUAAUACAUGCAAGUCGAGCGAACAGAUGAGGAGCUUGCUCCUCUGACGUUAGCGGAGGACGGGUGAGUAACACGUGGAUAACCUACCUAUAAGACUGGGAUAACUUCGGGAAACCGGAGCUAAUACCGGAUAAUAUAUUGAACCGCAUGGUUCAAUAGUGAAAGACGGUUUUGCUGUCACUUAUAGAUGGAUCCGCGCCGCAUUAGCUAGUUGGUAAGGUAACGGCUUACCAAGGCGACGAUGCGUAGCCGACCUGAGAGGGUGAUCGGCCACACUGGAACUGAGACACGGUCCAGACUCCUACGGGAGGCAGCAGUAGGGAAUCUUCCGCAAUGGGCGAAAGCCUGACGGAGCAACGCCGCGUGAGUGAUGAAGGUCUUCGGAUCGUAAAACUCUGUUAUUAGGGAAGAACAAAUGUGUAAGUAACUAUGCACGUCUUGACGGUACCUAAUCAGAAAGCCACGGCUAACUACGUG
RNAcentral lists this ribosomal RNA (497 nucleotides) under uncultured bacterium. Its description in RNAcentral is "partial 16S ribosomal RNA". It matches the Rfam family "Bacterial small subunit ribosomal RNA", at positions 28 to 507 of the family's 1533-position model. The record is from RNAcentral.